Molecule: ribosomal RNA, 1132 nt
Filed under: uncultured Chondromyces sp.
Lineage: Bacteria; Pseudomonadati; Myxococcota; Polyangiales; Polyangiaceae
Description: bacterial SSU rRNA
Rfam family: Bacterial small subunit ribosomal RNA
Source: RNAcentral
GUAGAGUGGCGCACGGGUGAGUAACACGUAGGUAAUCUACCUUCGGGUGGGGAAUAACCCCGGGAAACCGGGGCUAAUACCGCAUAAUGCAGCGGCACCUAAUGGUGACAGUUGUUAAAGCGGGGGAUCGCAAGAUCUCGCGCCUGAAGAGGAGCCUGCGGCGGAUUAGCUAGUUGGCAGGGUAACGGCCUACCAAGGCGACGAUCCGUAGCCGGCCUGAGAGGGCGGUCGGCCACACUGACACUGACAUACGGGUCAGACUCCUACGGGAGGCAGCAGUCGGGAAUUUUGGGCAAUGGGCGAAAGCCUGACCCAGCAACGCCGCGUGAAGGAUGAAAUCCCUCGGGAUGUAAACUUCGCAAGAACGGGAAGAAUAAGUUUGUGCUAACACCACAAGCGAUGACGGUACUGUUUGUAAGCUCCGGCUAACUCCGUGCCAGCAGCCGCGGUAAUACGGGGGGAGCAAGCGUUGUUCGGAUUUACUGGGCGUAAGGGCGCGUAGGCGGCCUCCGCAAGUCAGUUGUGAAAUCUCCGAGCUUAACUCGGAAAGGUCAACUGAUACUGCGGGGCUAGAGUGCGGAAGGGGCAACUGGAAUUCUUGGUGUAGCGGUGAAAUGCGUAGAUAUCAAGAGGAACACCUGCGGCGAAGGCGGGUUGCUGGGCCGACACUGACGCUGAGGCGCGAAAGCUAGGGGAGCGAACGGGAUUAGAUACCCCGGUAGUCCUAGCCUUAAACGAUGAAUGCUUGGUGUCUGGGGUUAUAUAGUCCCCGGGUGCCGUCGCUAACGCUUUAAGCAUUCCGCCUGGGGAGUACGGUCGCAAGACUGAAACUCAAAGGAAUUGACGGGGACCCGCACAAGCGGUGGAGCAUGUGGUUUAAUUCGACGCAACGCGAAGAACCUUACCUGGGCUAGAAUGCCUCUGACAGCCCCAGAGAUGGGGUCUCCUAGGGAAACCUAGGCAGAGUGCAAGGUGCUGCAUGGCUGUCGUCAGCUCGUGUCGUGAGAUGUUGGGUUAAGUCCCGCAACGAGCGCAACCCUUAUCAAUAGUUGCCAGCGGUUCGGCCGGGCACUCUAUUGAGACUGCCGUUGACAAAACGGAGGAAGGUGGGGGAUGACGUCAAGUCCUCAUG